GGGGAUUUAGCUCAGUGGUAGAGCACUUGCCUAGCAAGACCCUGGGUUCAGUCCUCA
RNAcentral lists this transfer RNA (57 nucleotides) under Rattus norvegicus (Norway rat). It matches the Rfam family "tRNA". Rfam says of the family: Transfer RNA (tRNA) molecules are approximately 80 nucleotides in length. Their secondary structure includes four short double-helical elements and three loops (D, anti-codon, and T loops). The record is from Rfam by way of RNAcentral. Lineage: Eukaryota; Metazoa; Chordata; Mammalia; Rodentia; Muridae.